Molecule: non-coding RNA, 143 nt
Filed under: Chattonella subsalsa
Lineage: Eukaryota; Raphidophyceae; Chattonellales; Chattonellaceae
Source: RNAcentral
ACCCCCCCCCCCUUGAUUUUAUUUUAUUAUUUUUUUGUUGAAGAAUCCAGCAGCAUUACUGUUGGUUCUUCUUUGAAAUACACAGUAACUGUAACAAUGGAAGCAGAAGCCGAAAAUCAAAGACCUACAAGCAGAAAGCCAGA